Pelobates cultripes (western spadefoot toad) is the source of this 839-nucleotide non-coding RNA. Lineage: Eukaryota; Metazoa; Chordata; Amphibia; Anura; Pelobatidae. The record is from the annotation of a GenBank genome assembly.
AUCUACUCACUUCAAAAUCUUGUGGUUACUACUCUAUCCUAAUUCUCCUUGACCUGUCUGCGGCUUUUGACACUGUUGAUCAUCAACAGCUUCUUCUCAUCCUCCGCAAUAUCAGUCUGCAAGAUAUUGCUCUCUCCUGGUGCUCCUCCUACCUCUUUCAGCGCUCUUUCAAUGUUUCUUUCUCUGGCUCUGCUUCUUCUCCCCAACUCCUCUCUGUUGGUGUCCCCCAAGGUUCAGUCCUUGGUCCCCUACUGUUCUUUAUCUAUACUGCCUCCCUUGGUAAACUCAUUAGCUCCUUUGGCUUCCGAUAUCAUUUCUAUGCAGAUGACACACAAAUCUACCUGUCAUCUCCUGAUCUCUCCCAGUCCCUCUUGACUAGUGUCUGACUGCCUCUCUGCUAUUUCUAACUGGAUGGCUGCCCACUUCCUUAAACUCAACUUGACCAAAACUGAAAUUCUAGUCUUUCCUCCCUCAAGUGUUGCCACCCUUGUGUCUGCCUCCCUCCAAGUCAACGGUGCUAAAUCUGCUCCACCACGCAGGCUUGCUGCCUAGGUGUUCUCUUUGACUCCGAUCUCUCCUUCAUGCCUCAUGUUCAGUCUAUCGCCAGAUCCUGUCGUUUCCAUCUCAAAAAUAUUGCGUGCAUCCAACCCUACUUAACGCCAGGUGCCACUAAGGUGCUGGUUCAUUCCAUUGUCCUUUCUCACCUUGACUACUGUUAUCCGCUUCUCAGUGGUCUUACAUGCAUCCAUCUUGUGCCGUUACAGUCCAUAAUGAAUGCGGCGGCGAGGCUCAUCUUCCUGUCCGCCCGCACCGCCCACGCCUCACCCUUCUGUCAGUCC